Molecule: long non-coding RNA, 803 nt
Organism: Cyprinus carpio (common carp)
Lineage: Eukaryota; Metazoa; Chordata; Actinopteri; Cypriniformes; Cyprinidae
Source: Ensembl
UUGUGAAUGAUCGUCUGUAUGUUUCUGAUGUAUGCUUCAUCAGAUGGACAGCAGCUGUCCACCACAAGCUCAUCAGCUCAAAGGAAAAAGAAGACUGUCACAACACAAAGACAAGAUGAUGAUGACUCCGCAGGAUGGUCACUUGGGAAGAGACAAUGUCAAACUUGAAGAGCAAGACAUGCAGAUGAUGGUAAUGCUGAUGAGGAUGACGGGAGUGAUGACAUCAGUCAAGGCAUUGAAGACACAGAUGGACUGGUGCACCAGGAGAUAGGUGGAGGACAAAUGGAGAGAACUGCAGAAAAACAUGAUGAUGAUGGACAGGAGCCACACUCAACUUCAGGAAGCUCAUCUGCUGAUAAACCAAAGAGGAUUACAACAUCUAGACUGAAUGAUGUUGGUGAUGAUGAAGAUAGCGGUGACUCUGAGCAUGAUGCUCCAGAAAGGGUAGUGAAGAACCGAGGUAAGAGACCCUGGAAUGACCAGGAGAGGACGGCAGUCAAACGACGCCUUGCCAAGUCAAUCGCCCUUAAAAUGGUUCCAGGAAAGCAGGACUGCCUGAUGUGCAUUGCCAAAGAGUCUCCAGUCCUAAGUGCGCAGAAGUGGAAAGACGUGAAGUAUUUUGUAUACAACGAAAUUCUUAAAGUUAAAAGAAAGCUUGCAUUAUGAAUGAAUUGACUGAGUUUCCUCCCUCUGUUGUAUUUCCGUGUUUUAAAGGGUGAAUUGUCUGUUAGUUUGUUCAUUUGUUAGCACUCUAACAACUUGAACAAUAAUAAUAAAUGCUGGUUUAUUUAUUAUGUCUGCCA